RNAcentral lists this transfer RNA (68 nucleotides) under Togoperla limbata. RNAcentral's name for it is "tRNA-His". Lineage: Eukaryota; Metazoa; Arthropoda; Insecta; Plecoptera; Perlidae. The record is from RNAcentral.
ACUUAAGUAGUUUAAUUAAAAUUUUGGCUUGUGGUGCCAAGAAUAUAAGGUUUAUCUUAUCUUAGGUU